AUUUUAUUCCUAGAUAAUCUUCUCAUAUAUUAGUAUAAAACAAUAGUUUAGUACACAACAAUAAUCAGACUAGUGUUAGAAUAUAAUACACUGGUGUCUUGUAGCACUAUAUCUUUAACAAUUGCAUAAAUACUCUAAAAUCUACAUUUUGAAAUCUUUUAUUUUUAAUAUCAAGUCAUGAGAUGUCAAGAUUUUAUAAAAUUCACUAAUUUUUGGAUAGUUGUAAGGAAUAUAUACGACCCACUUAAUAAUUUUUUUUUUUUUUGUCAUUCCAUUGUUUUUGCAAUAUAAAAAGCAAAUUACCUUAAAAUAAGAUAAAAUCCCACUAGGUUCUACUUAUAGUUAUACAAAUGCAAUUGUCUGAAUUUUAUAUGAAACUCUUUCAAAUUAAAGCCAGAAAUAUUUGAAAAUAAAUUUUAUUCUAAAUCCUUUGUCACCAGUGUUUUUACAAUGUGUAAUCUAUAAAAUGAGCAGAAAAAAAUCUGUCCCCACAUCUUUCCAUUAACUUUGUCCUCUUUAGAGACAGAUUGAAGUAAUUACUACCAAAUGUUAACAGUAUUUUUACUUUGUCCUCUUUAGAGACAGAUUGAAGUAAUUACUACCAAAUGUUAACAGUAUUUUUACUUUGUCCUCUUUAGAGACAGAUUGAAGUAAUUACUACCAAAUGUUAACAGUAUUUUUACUUUGCCCUCUUUAGAGACAGAUUGAAGUAAUUACUACCAAAUGUUAACAGUAUUUUUACUUUGCCCUCUUUAGAGACAGAUUGAAGUAAUUACUACAAA
This 782-nucleotide long non-coding RNA is filed under the name Mytilus galloprovincialis (Mediterranean mussel). The record is from RNAcentral. Lineage: Eukaryota; Metazoa; Mollusca; Bivalvia; Mytilida; Mytilidae.